This 3223-nucleotide ribosomal RNA is filed under the name Begonia fuchsioides. RNAcentral's name for it is "eukaryotic LSU rRNA". The stretch from base 1 to 2571 matches the Rfam family "Eukaryotic large subunit ribosomal RNA", at positions 386 to 3401 of the family's 3401-position model. The record is from RNAcentral. Lineage: Eukaryota; Viridiplantae; Streptophyta; Magnoliopsida; Cucurbitales; Begoniaceae.
CAUUUGAAGGUGUCGACCCUGAAUAAAACCCAAGAGUUUCAAGUGAUGACCCUUUUUACAAUUUUCAUAACUUUUGUUCCACAACUUGGAUUUCACUAACUCAAAAACUAAUAUUUUCCUUAUUUAGUCUCGUGUAACUUUCUAGAAUACUUAAACUUCAAAUUAUGUGUUUAACAUAAUCAAAUAUAUGAAAUAAAAACAUCUCUCAAAAUCCAUAAUUCUAUAGUCCGGUUUUCCUUUACCAACUUCAAAUAAACAUAACUUCCUCUCCAGAAGUCCAAUAGAAUAGAUAUACCUGUCAAUAUUCUUAUCUUGACGUUUACUACAACUUUUCAAAAAAAAACUUUGCCAGUUAUUCUCUUUUAAGGAAUGAUAUGAUUGUUACACAGAAACUGCUCUGUUACAAAAUUCCAACCUAUUAUUUGUUCCAACCUUUGGGGUCUAAGAUUCGUAACUUUCUCUAUACGUUUUUAAAUCAAGAAAUUCUUGUUGUUGUAGUUUCAUCUACUAAUCUAUUAAUUCCAUUAGAAGAAAUCAACUUCAUGCUAAGACCCUAAAACUCCGGAAUUAGGUAAAUACCAAUAUUGUUUCCGAUUAGUUAAUUCAUUACUUAUAAGGUGCUAUUUCAUCUCCAUAUUCAUCUUUUCUUAGCACAUUUCAUUCUUUAACCAUAAAACAUUACAUUCACAUAAUGUGAUUGUACAUAAAAAAGUUGGGUGUUACAGAGCGUUCCUGUCAGGACAUGAAAGAUGGUGAUUUAUGCCUUAGCAGGGUGAAGGCAAAGGAAACUUUUAUGGAGGACUACAGUGAUACUAACGUGCAAAUCGUUCGUCUGACUUGGGUAUAGGGGCAAAAGACUGAUUGAACUGUCUAGUAGCUAGUUUCGUCAAAAGUUUCCCUGAGAAUAACUGAAGUCCAUGGGCAAGUUCUAUUUGGUAAAGCCAAUGAUUAGAGCCAUUGGGGGGACAAUAAAAUUGAUCUAUUCUAAAACUUUAAAUUUGUACGACGGUGUGGCUGCUUUCCUGAGCAAUGCCAUAGAAUCGAGAGCUCCAUGGGCCAUUUUUGGAAAGCACAACAAGUGAUGCAUGAUUAACUAAAACUAGGGUUACAGUGCCUAACUGUGCACUAACCUAAAAGGCACAAGGGGUGUUGGUUGAUUAGGACAGCAUGACGGUGGUCUUAGAAGUCAAAAGCCGCUAAAGAGUGUGUAACAACUCACUAGUCAAAUAAAUAGCCCUAAAAAAUGGAUGGCGUUGAAACGCAAAACCUAUACUCAGCCAUCGGGUUAAGUACCAGGUCCCAAUAAAUAGGAGGGUGUGACGGUCGCUGCAAAACCUGGGGCAUGAGCCAAGGCAGAGCAGGCGUCGAUGAAGAUCUUGGUGGUAGUAGCCAAAAUUCAAAUUAGAACUUUGAAAGCCAAAGAGGGGAAAUGUUUCAUGUAAACAGCACUUGCACAUGGGUUAGUCAAUCCUAGGAGUCAGGGUAAUCCCGUCUGACAAUACCCAGUGCACGAGCAUCAAAAGAGAAUAUGGUUAAAUUCUUGUAAUGGGAUGUGGUGGCUGAUGACAACUUUAGGGAGUCCAACGACGUCGUCGGGGACCUCAGGAAGAGUUAUCUUUUUUGUUUGAUAGCCUACCCACCCUUGAAACGGCUUAGCCGGAGGUAGGGUCUAGCGGCUAGAAGAGCAGCGCAUGUUGCACCGUGCUUGAUACGUCCUCGACAACCCUUGAAAAUUUGGAGGACUAAGUGCCACCCAUGCUCGCUUGUUCUAAUAGACGCAUCAGGUCUCCAAGGUGAACAACCUUUGGUCGAUGGAAUAAUUUAGGUAAGGGAAGUCGGCAAAAUUGAUCUGCAACCUCAAAAAAAUUAUUGGCUCUAAGGGUAGAGCAUGAAGGUCCCCAUCCCAAAUCUAUCAGUUGUUGAUUGACUGCUCGAGCUGCUCUCGCGGCGAGAGCGGGUAGUCGUGUGCCAGUUUGGGGACAAGUUGGGAACAUCUCCUUUGUGGGCCGUCCCCGAGCAUCAAACAGUCGACUCAGAACUAGUACAGACAAAUGGAAUCUUACUAGUUAAUUAAAACAAAACAUUGCAAUGGUCCAUGCAGAUGCUCACACAGUGUGAUUUUUACCCAAGUCUUUGAAUAUCAAAGUUAAGAAAUUCAACUGGGUAAACAACAGGAGUAACUAUGACUCUCUUAAGGUUGCCCAAUUAAUUCUCAUAUACUUAGUGACGCACAUGAAUUGAUUAGUAAGAUUUUCAAUGUCUCUUUCUACUAUCUAGUGAAAUAACAACCAAGGGAAGGAGCUUGGUAGAAUCUGCGGGGAAAGAAGACCCUGUUGAGUUUGACUCUAGUACGACUUUGUGAAAUCACCUGUGUAACCUCCUACCUAGCUAGAAAUAUGUUCUUUAUUUUUUUUUACUUGCAGUGGAAAAUAUUUUCUUGAAAAAAUCAUUUAAGGCAUACAUGAAAACUAAAGUCACUUAAAACAUAUUUACAACAUGUUAGGUUUCUUAAACUAUUUACAAGUUAUAUGUACAAAGUUAAAAACUUCUUCUCCUAACCAUUAUUUAAGGUUCUUAAAAAUCUUUGCCCACAGGUCAAAAUCCGCUCAAACAACAUCGACCACCUCCAUGAACAAAGCGAUUUAUCUCGUACACCUCUCAAUGUAUGUCUUUCUCACCUACAUCAUAAAACUCAUCUAUGAGCAUAAGGAUCAACAAGUAGUAUAAAUAUGCAUGAACAUGUACAUGAUAUGCAUAAGUAAAGCUUUUCUUUUUUUUUUUAUUCUGGGUCUUUCAUUCCUUUAAUUUCUAUCAUUCUUUAUCACUGGGGGUUCCUGGCAAGGAACGAGAGAACACAAACUUGAGUCCACCUAAGGGGACAGCAAACUCGAUUCCAAGGGUUGAGAGACCACAAACUUGAGUCCACCUAAGGGGAUAGCCAACUCAAACCUCUUCCCAAUGAUAUUUACGUAACUUUCUCUUUCUUUAUUUUAUCUUCUCUUUCGUUGUAUUUCAAGCUCAACCUGAAACAACCAUUUCAUAUUAUGUUUCAUACGAAAUCUCAUGCAUGUAAAUAGUUCGUAACUUUCUAGAAAACAUGAUGCAUGAGAUGUUUGUGAUAUUAACGUGUCAAACAAUUAAGUAAUAUUCAUAACAUUAAAAUAACAAUCCAUCAUAUCAUAAACCAAAUCAUGCUCUUCUAUAUCAUUUUAUACUAGCAUCU